UGAGCCACAGUUAUGACGGAGCAAUCUACCAAUUCUUUUCUUAUGGUUGUUUGCAGAAUGGCAUAUGUUGUGUUGUCCAUUGAGAAAAAAGUCAAGAAAGAAAAUAUACACUACUGCCAAAGAUGAUGGAUAAUAAGGUAUUCUAAAACAGUAAGCAUUGAUAGGAUUGAUAACCCAUUAGUCAAUUACAUCAAACUCUUGUAUAUGAAAAUGACUAUGGAUUAUUGAUAUGAGUUGAGUGAGUGAGAGAGAUAUAUAAGACUUUAUUAAAAGGAAAAAAAAAAAAGAGAAUAUGGUCAAAAGUUAUAUGCCAUCUUUGUUUUCAUAAAAGUCUACAAAAAAAAGUGAGAGAGAUUUUGUUUUAACUUAUAUUUGUUCUUGAGCGUUGCCAUAUAUACAUAUAUAUAUAUAUAAAAAUAUCAAAGAAACAGAGUGGAAGGCUAGAUCUGGAAAACACAGGUUGAGUCACUAAAAAGAGAAGAGUUGAAAAAUCAUUGAUGGACUCCAAGCAAUACCACUUGGUUUCUUGACUGAUAAGACUUGAUAAAGUGAAGAACUCAGCAGGACUGGUACAGUGCUACGAUGUGACAAGCGAAAUAGAAAAUGAUACUUAAUUUUGAAGGUUUUGUGUUGGGCAGCUGUAGAAUAUUUUGUGCUGAAAGUAGUAACUUUUCAAUAUGUUGAAUAUUUAAGACUACUUGAAUACUUAAAGAACAUUUUGUUGUUGAUGAUAGUGUUGAAUAUUUUAAACUAAUUUGUGGAUUGUUAAUACAAUGUUG
Molecule: long non-coding RNA, 779 nt
Organism: Humulus lupulus (European hop)
Lineage: Eukaryota; Viridiplantae; Streptophyta; Magnoliopsida; Rosales; Cannabaceae
Exons: 3
Source: RefSeq, a predicted model, not a curated record